GAUUGAGACAACGUACAAACCUUAUCGAUAAACAAUUGGAGGGCAAGUCUGGUGCCAGCAGCCGCGGUAAUUCCAGCUCCAAUAGCGUAUAUUAACGUUGUUGCAGUUAAAAAGCUCGUAGUUGAAAUGAAGGGUAGUUGUGUAAUGAAUACAUUCGUGUAUUUUGUUAUUCAAGUAUCCUCCUUCUAAAUUCGAUAUAUGAGUAUUAAUUUACUUGUAUAUGGUUUUAGACAUUUACUGUGAGAAAAUUAGAGUGUUCAAAGCAGGCAUUUGCUUGAAUAUAUUAGCAUGGAAUAAUCAUGUAUGAUUUUCAUGAUGUAUUUGAUUGGUUUGGUUGAUGAGAAUAAGAUUAAAAGGGACAGUUGGGGGUAUUCAUAUUCAAUAGUCAGAGGUGAAAUUCUCGGAUUUAUGGAAGAUGAACAAGUGCGAAAGCAUUUACCAAGGAUGUUUUCAUUAAUCAAGAACGAAAGUUAGGGGAUCGAAGAGGAU
This 489-nucleotide ribosomal RNA is filed under the name Blastocystis sp. subtype 3. RNAcentral's name for it is "SSU rRNA". It matches the Rfam family "Eukaryotic small subunit ribosomal RNA", at positions 512 to 1008 of the family's 1831-position model. The record is from RNAcentral. Lineage: Eukaryota; Bigyra; Opalinata; Blastocystidae.